AAGAUCGAAUGGGGAGAUUCAUCGUCGACGGCGCUGGCUACCGUUGGUGCGCGAUGCUCCGGGUGGGCCCUUGCGGUUCCAUUAGCGUGUGGCACACCACCUUCGGAUCGAACGUUCCGGCGUCGUAGUCGUGCACUUCUCCCCUAGUAGGACGUCGCGACCCGUUGUGUGUCGGUCUACGGCCCGAGUGGGCGCCUGUCGCGUCGUUUCGGCGCACGCGGCAGACCCUCGGUCGCCCGGCCGGCUGCACGACGGUACACUCACGGUAUCGGGCCGCAACCAGUCCAUUCUCGAAUGUGUGUGCGUCCAACCCGCCGCAAGCUCGGUCAGUUCUUACCCGGAGGUACGGACCCUGUGCCGUCCCCGGGCCUGGCCAGCUGUUAGCAGGCGGUGUCCUCGGACUGGCCAAAUCUCAGAUUACCGGUCAGCGACGCUAUUGCUUUGGGUACUCUCAGGACCCGUCUUGAAACACGGACCAAGGAGUCUAACAUGUGCGCGAGUCAUUGGGAUGCAUAAACCUAAAGGCGAAAUGAAAGUGAAAGUCGGCCUUCGCGCCGAUCGAGGGAGGAUGGGCCGCGUAACCAUGCGGCCUCGCACUCCCGGGGCGUCUCGUUCUCAUUGCGAGAAGAGGCGCACCUAGAGCGUACACGUUGGGACCCGAAAGAUGGUGAACUAUGCCUGGUCAGGACGAAGUCAGGGGAAACCCUGAUGGAGGUCCGUAGCGAUUCUGACGUGCAAAUCGAUCGUCGNAAC
RNAcentral lists this ribosomal RNA (753 nucleotides) under Lestrimelitta limao. RNAcentral describes it as "eukaryotic LSU rRNA". It matches the Rfam family "Eukaryotic large subunit ribosomal RNA", at positions 584 to 911 of the family's 3401-position model. Lineage: Eukaryota; Metazoa; Arthropoda; Insecta; Hymenoptera; Apidae. The record is from RNAcentral.